UACGUAGGGUGCAAGCGUUGUUCGGAAUCACUGGGCGUAAAGGGAGCGUAGGCGGGAUUGUAAGUUAGGAGUUUAAUUCUUGGGCUCAACCCGAGAUCGGCUUUUAAUACUGCAGUUCUUGAAUAUUGGAGAGGGUGAUGGAAUUCCAGGUGUAGCGGUGGAAUGCGUAGAUAUCUGGAAGAACACCAGUAGCGAAGGCGGUCACCUGGCCAAAUAUUGACGCUGAGGCUCGAAAGUUAGGGGAGCAAAC
This 250-nucleotide ribosomal RNA is filed under the name uncultured bacterium. Its description in RNAcentral is "partial 16S ribosomal RNA". It matches the Rfam family "Bacterial small subunit ribosomal RNA", at positions 524 to 773 of the family's 1533-position model. The record is from RNAcentral.